GUUGGCAGGUAGCUGGGUAUGGAUGUGUAUUGGCCAAAUUUGUAUGAUAAAACAUGCAACUUUUCUGAAAAUUGCAUAUAUUUUUGGACUUGAACUGUACAUUACACAUACAAAAAAUUAGACAAAAAGGAUAGGCAAUUUUUUUUUAAUGUCACAAAACGUUAUAAAGAACUGAUAGAGGAAUUAAUUGUGGUCUUGGGCCAGCUUUGUU
This 211-nucleotide long non-coding RNA is filed under the name Mytilus galloprovincialis (Mediterranean mussel). Lineage: Eukaryota; Metazoa; Mollusca; Bivalvia; Mytilida; Mytilidae. The record is from RNAcentral.